RNAcentral lists this ribosomal RNA (793 nucleotides) under uncultured Thermococcus sp. Its description in RNAcentral is "bacterial SSU rRNA". It matches the Rfam family "Archaeal small subunit ribosomal RNA", at positions 85 to 876 of the family's 1478-position model. Lineage: Archaea; Methanobacteriati; Methanobacteriota; Thermococci; Thermococcales; Thermococcaceae. The record is from RNAcentral.
ACGGUUCAGUAACACGUCGGUAACCUACCCUCGGGAGGGGGAUAACCCCGGGAAACUGGGGCUAAUUCCCCAUAGGCUGAGGUACUGGAAGGUCCUCAGGCCGAAAGGGACUUAUGUCCGCCCGAGGAUGGGCCGGCGGCCGAUUAGGUAGUUGGUGGGGUAAUGGCCCACCAAGCCGAAGAUCGGUACGGGCUGUGAGAGCAGGAGCCCGGAGAUGGACACUGAGACACGGGUCCAGGCCCUACGGGGCGCAGCAGGCGCGAAACCUCCGCAAUGCGGGAAACCGCGACGGGGGGACCCCGAGUGCCGUGGCAACGCCACGGCUUUUCCGGAGUGUAAAAAGCUCCGGGAAUAAGGGCUGGGCAAGGCCGGUGGCAGCCGCCGCGGUAAUACCGGCGGCCCGAGUGGUGGCCGCUAUUAUUGGGCCUAAAGCGUCCGUAGCCGGGCCCGUAAGUCCCUGGCGAAAUCCCACGGCUCAACCGUGGGGCUUGCUGGGGAUACUGCGGGUCUUGGGACCGGGAGAGGCGGGGGGUACCCCUGGGGUAGGGGUGAAAUCCUAUAAUCCCAGGGGGACCGCCAGUGGCGAAGGCGCCCCGCUGGAACGGGUCCGACGGUGAGGGACGAAGGCCAGGGGAGCAAACCGGAUUAGAUACCCGGGUAGUCCUGGCUGUAAAGGAUGCGGGCUAGGUGUCGGGUGAGCCUCGAGCUCGCCCGGUGCCGUAGGGAAGCCGUUAAGCCCGCCGCCUGGGGAGUACGGCCGCAAGGCUGAAACUUAAAGGAAUUGGCGGGGGAG